RNAcentral lists this ribosomal RNA (512 nucleotides) under uncultured bacterium. Its description in RNAcentral is "partial 16S ribosomal RNA". It matches the Rfam family "Bacterial small subunit ribosomal RNA", at positions 28 to 523 of the family's 1533-position model. The record is from RNAcentral.
GACGAACGCUGGCGGCGUGCCUAAUACAUGCAAGUCGAGCGAAUCUUGAGGUGCUUGCACCACUUGGUUAGCGGCGGACGGGUGAGUAACACGUGGGCAACCUGCCUGUAAGACUGGGAUAACUUCGGGAAACCGGAGCUAAUACCGGAUAAUCCUUUUUCUCUCAUGAGGAAAAGCUGAAAGUCGGUUUACGCUGACACUUACAGAUGGGCCCGCGGCGCAUUAGCUCGUUGGUGAGGUAACGGCUCACCAAGGCGACGAUGCGUAGCCGACCUGAGAGGGUGAUCGGCCACACUGGGACUGAGACACGGCCCAGACUCCUACGGGAGGCAGCAGUAGGGAAUCUUCCGCAAUGGACGAAAGUCUGACGGAGCAACGCCGCGUGAGCGAUGAAGGCCUUCGGGUCGUAAAGCUCUGUUGUUAGGGAAGAACAAGUAUCGGAGUAACUGCCGGUACCUUGACGGUACCUAACCAGAAAGCCACGGCUAACUACGUGCCAGCAGCCGCAGUAA